This 253-nucleotide ribosomal RNA is filed under the name uncultured bacterium. Its description in RNAcentral is "partial 16S ribosomal RNA". It matches the Rfam family "Bacterial small subunit ribosomal RNA", at positions 524 to 776 of the family's 1533-position model. The record is from RNAcentral.
UACGAAGGGGGCUAGCGUUGUUCGGAAUCACUGGGCGUAAAGGGCGCGUAGGCGGGCUCUUAAGUCGAGGGUGAAAUCCUGGAGCUCAACUCCAGAACGUCCUUUGAUACUGAGAGCCUGGAGUUCGAGAGAGGUUGGUGGAAUUGCGAGUGUAGAGGUGAAAUUCGUAGAUAUUCGCAGGAACACCAGUGGCGAAGGCGACCAACUGGCUCGAUACUGACGCUGAGGUGCGAAAGCGUGGGGAGCAAACAGG